GGGCACGUAGCUCAGCUGGCUAGAGCGUCUCGUUGACAUCGAGGAGGUCACAGGUUCAAGUCCUGUCGUGCCCA
Molecule: transfer RNA, 74 nt
Filed under: Candidatus Portnoyibacteriota bacterium
Lineage: Bacteria; Candidatus Portnoyibacteriota
Description: Candidatus Portnoybacteria bacterium tRNA-Val
Rfam family: tRNA
About the family: Transfer RNA (tRNA) molecules are approximately 80 nucleotides in length.
Source: RNAcentral